Transfer RNA from Atta cephalotes, 73 nucleotides. It matches the Rfam family "tRNA". Rfam says of the family: Transfer RNA (tRNA) molecules are approximately 80 nucleotides in length. NCBI's taxonomy places the organism in Eukaryota, Metazoa, Arthropoda, Insecta, Hymenoptera, Formicidae. The record is from Rfam.
ACCUUGGUAGUCUAAAAACUUAGGACUCUCGUACGAAAUUCUAGAGAUCCGGGUUCGAUUCCCAGCUGAGGUA